GGUCAUUAUGCCUAUAGCUGUGACAUCAUAAGAAAUGCACUGUUUAUUACCCUCUAUUCUAUAGAGGCUAAUGACAGCUGCCUAAUGGCAGCUAAAGACUGUAAGAAACAGUGAACUUAGGGGGAAUGACUUUUCUGAGCCUUUCUCUUAGGAGUGGUUUGAUAACAAAUAAAAGACAGAUGACCACAUCCCACAGGAGCUGCUGCCUAACACAAGUACCACAUUCAACAGCACCAUCAUUAUAGCAUAUAAGCCUUUGUAACUCAGGCUCCACUCCGACAAACAGGAUAACACCUCUUAGAAGGUUACGUACUUGGGUAGCUACUAUGACAGUUUAAGGUCCAACCAUGUUAUGUGAACAGAUUUACCUGCUGAGAUGACUGCUCAUACAGAUUUUGGGCUACAGACGACCAUGGAGAAGGGCUCUGACAGCAUCACCACCAGUACUGUGAAAUUAUCUAUCUUUGCUGGAAUUUACUUAUCUCAUUUACAAUUAUUAUUUUCUCUUAAUUUUCAUGGCAGAUUGUGCUUUUAGAUAUUUGGGUAAACAGGGCUUUCAACCAGCAAAUUAUAAUACUUUAUAAUCAAUAGUGCUACAGUGUUAAGAACUAAUGUAAAAUUUUCAUUAAAUUGGAGCAGAGUGCAGUUAAAGGAAUGCUAACAAGUAUUGAUGUUUAGAAUGUGUUUAUCAAUGUUAUACUUUUCCCCACUGUACUGAGUUUAUUUUUCCACAUUAAAAAAUAUUAUUUGGUAUCUCUUGGGCUGAGUUUUAAACAAGAUAAAGCAUCUUGUAAAUGAAUUUAUUUUGAAGAAGAAAUAAAACACAAUUUGUGGCUUUUUUCA
Molecule: long non-coding RNA, 843 nt
Filed under: Anas platyrhynchos platyrhynchos (common mallard)
Lineage: Eukaryota; Metazoa; Chordata; Aves; Anseriformes; Anatidae
Description: lncRNA (ENSAPLG00000020629.1)
Source: RNAcentral